Molecule: ribosomal RNA, 374 nt
Filed under: uncultured organism
Description: partial 16S ribosomal RNA
Rfam family: Bacterial small subunit ribosomal RNA
Source: RNAcentral
GUAGGUGGCAAGCGUUGUCCGGAAUUAUUGGGCGUAAAGCGCGCGCAGGCGGUUCUUUAAGUCUGAUGUGAAAGCCCACGGCUCAACCGUGGAGGGUCAUUGGAAACUGGAGAACUUGAGUACAGAAGAGGAAAGCGGAAUACCACGUGUAGCGGUGAAAUGCGUAGAGAUGUGGAGGAACACCAGUGGCGAAGGCGGCUUUCUGGUCUGUAACUGACGCUGAGGCGCGAAAGCGUGGGGAGCAAACAGGAUUAGAUACCCUGGUAGUCCACGCCGUAAACGAUGAGUGCUAAGUGUUAGGGGGGUUUUCCGCCCCCCUUAGUGCUGCAGCUAACGCAUUAAGCACUCCGCCUGGGAGUACGGCCGCAAGGCUG